UGCUCCGAAUACAGAGGGAAUAGUGCAGUC
This 30-nucleotide non-coding RNA is filed under the name Rattus norvegicus (Norway rat). The record is from RNAcentral. Lineage: Eukaryota; Metazoa; Chordata; Mammalia; Rodentia; Muridae.